This 301-nucleotide ribosomal RNA is filed under the name uncultured bacterium. RNAcentral describes it as "partial 16S ribosomal RNA". It matches the Rfam family "Bacterial small subunit ribosomal RNA", at positions 509 to 809 of the family's 1533-position model. The record is from RNAcentral.
CAGUAGCCGCGGGAAUCCGUAGGUGGCAAGCGUUGUCCGGAAUUAUUGGGCGUAAAGCGCGCGCAGGCGGAUAGGUCAGUCUGUCUUAAAAGUUCGGGGCUUAACCCCGUGAUGGGAUGGAAACUGCCAAUCUAGAGUAUCGGAGAGGAAAGUGGAAUUCCUAGUGUAGCGGUGAAAUGCGUAGAUAUUAGGAAGAACACCAGUGGCGAAGGCGACUUUCUGGACGAAAACUGACGCUGAGGCGCGAAAGCCAGGGGAGCGAACGGGAUUAGAUACCCCCGUAGUCCCUGUCUCUUAUACA